AGUGAACGCUGGCGGUAGGCCUAACACAUGCAAGUCGAACGGCAGCACAGUAAGGUUUGCCCUUUCGGGUUGCCAGUGGCGGGGUGGUGAAGAAUACAAUGGAAUCCACUUUUUCCUGGGGGAUCACGUAGGGAAACUUACGCUUAUACCGCAUUAUAUCUACCGGUGUAAGUCAGGGGUCUUAGAAGCUUUCGCGGUUGCAUGUACCGAUGUCGGAUUAGCUAGUUGGAGGGGUAAAGGCCCACCAAGGCGACGGCACGUAGCUGGUCUGAGAGGAUGAUCAGCCACACUGGAACUGAGACACGGUCCAGACUCCUACGGGAGGCAGCAGUGGGGAAUAUUGGACAAUGGGCGAAAGCCUGAUCCAGCAAUACCGCGUGGGUGAAGAAGGCCUUCGGGUUGUAAAGCCCUUUUGUUAGGAAAGAAAAGCAGCAGGUGAAUACACCGCUGUUCUGACGGUACCCAAAGAAUAAGCCCCGGCUAACUUCGUG
Molecule: ribosomal RNA, 491 nt
Filed under: uncultured bacterium
Lineage: Bacteria
Description: partial 16S ribosomal RNA
Rfam family: Bacterial small subunit ribosomal RNA
Source: RNAcentral